RNAcentral lists this ribosomal RNA (253 nucleotides) under uncultured bacterium. RNAcentral describes it as "partial 16S ribosomal RNA". It matches the Rfam family "Bacterial small subunit ribosomal RNA", at positions 524 to 776 of the family's 1533-position model. The record is from RNAcentral.
UACGUAGGGGGCAAGCGUUGUCCGGAAUUAUUGGGCGUAAAGAGCUCGUAGGCGGCCUGGCGCGUCCGUCGUGAAAGCCUGGGGCUCAACCCCAGGUCUGCAGUGGAUACGGGCAGGCUAGAGUCAGGUAGGGGAGAACGGAAUUCCUGGUGUAGCGGUGAAAUGCGUAGAUAUCGGGAGGAACACCAGUGGCGAAGGCGGCUUUCUGGCCCGUUCUUGACGCUGAGGCGCGAAAGCUAGGGUAGCAAACGGG